CGGCCGAGCACUGCAGGCCUCGCCCACCGGAGGCGGGGCCCCGCCCAGAAGGAGCUCGAGGCUGGAGUCGGGCGGGGGAGCUGCCGGUGGGCCCGCCAGCCUGCACCUGGCUCUUCCUCCUUCACUUGCCAGCUUUACGGAUGAGGAUGCAGAGGACCCAGGGCAGGAUCCCUGAUUUCUUGGAGUUUGCCUUCAGGUGGCGGAGACAGAUAUUAAAGGAACUAACUCCUUGAAAAAGAAAGGAGAGAAGGUAUGUGAGGACCAGAGGGAGACCCCAGCCUCCACUCCAAGUCUCUAGUGCAACCAAGCUAGUCUGCUCCAUGGACCAGGGAGGAGAACACUGAACAGAGCUGAAAAAUAAGGUUUUGAACAAACAGGGCUGUGUUGUGACUUUUGGAAUGGCAGAGCGAGGAACUCCGCAAAUCCUCUCCCCAAAUGGCAAAUGAUGAGACUGGAGAAAAUUGUGCUAAAAAACCACUUCAGCUCCCUGGAAAUCGAUCAUAGGCAUGACACAAAUUAAGAAACAUUUAAUCAAGAAAAGCUACUAAACUUUGUGUAGGAACAGUGAGCGUGCAUGACAUUUUAGCCCAGAGAAUGUCCCAGUCUCCCCCCUCCAUUUCCAUGGAAGUUGUUCUUCCAGGGCUGGGAAAGCUGGGAAACGAGCAGCUUUGCUGCCAGAGAGGGCAGCUUGAUUUGGAGCCAAGCCAGAAAAACCACAUGACCAAGGGGAAGCCUCCAUUUGGAACGCCAACUUCGCAGCUGCCCGCUGAGGUUGCCGUAUUGGUUGGGCCAACAACUGAUGAGAAGGCUUCCUAGAGGUUUAGCAGGGAGACCAUCAUGGGCUUUGAUAAGCUCCCACAUAUACUGGUGGUCUGGGAGGCUGUGUAAGCUCAGGAGACUCUUGAGAGAGCCCUAGUCAUCUGCUCAUCCUGACUCAACAUGAAGCCUUACGCUGUCACAGAGGAGACACUGGAAAACCCAGUAGGAUAAAAGACAGGACAGACUUGUAAACUACCUGGCUUUUGAAUAGUCAACUCAUCACAUACAGGGGGGACAAGAAUAAAAGCUGAUGUCGCAUCAGGAACAAUGGAGAAGGCAGUGGAAUGGCAUAUAUAAAGUGCUGAAGGAGGAAAAAAAAACUGUCAAACAAGAAUUCUCUAAAAAAAUUAUCUUUCAAAGGUGAAGUCAAGAUAAAGACAUUCCCAGAUAAACACUGAGAGAAUUUGUGGCGAGUAGAUCUUCCUUAUGAGAAAUAAAUAAUAUAUAAUAAUAUAUGUAAUAUAUAAUAAACACUAAGGGAAAUCUUUCAAAUGAAGGGAAUGCUACAGUAACUCGAAUCUAAGUGAAGAAAUUAAAAGAGCUGAAUGUUAAGUAUUAGGACAAGUCUGUUCUAAUAACUGAAAGUGACUGAAAGUUAUAGAAUCCGGCAAGAUCAUCUCAAAGAAACUAUCAUUCGGAGGGAAAAAUGGGAUCUCCUACAAAUCAAAAGCAUUGUCAAAGAGAAUUAGUGGAAGAAAUUAUUUCCUGUCGGUGCCUCCACUGAGUUGGGAUUUCCUAAUAACCUGGUUACACUGACAUUUCAGGGUGUUUGCCUCCCCCCUCAGUAAAAAUAUAAGCUCUGUGAGGGGAGUGUCUCCUUCUGUGUCUCCCACUAGCAUUUUACAGCUGCGGCACUCUUCCUUCCACACCAUGCUUCUCCUUCAUAGCAUUUACACAAGUGUGAUUACGUGAAGGAGGGCGUGGAGUAUCUUUCUGGUCUGUGGCUAUAUUAGCAGAGCUUAGGAAAGUACAAGGCAUGGACAGAUGCUCUGAUGUGUUGAAUAAUGAAUAAUAGUGUACAAUGAAUUGAGACAGCAUGGGAAAAGGGCAGAAAUUGGAUGAUCCGGAUUCUUAUUUGGGAUGUCAAUUAGCUUCAAGUGCCUUAAUCUUGCUGACCCUCAAUUUUAAAACUAGAAUAUAUUUAGGCUGAGAGUAAGAGACCUUGGUUCUGAUCAUAGUUCUAGUUCCUAGCUAUGUGAGCUUGAGCAAACUGCCCCAUUUCCCAGGUUUCAUUUAUGAAAUGAAUAAUUGAACCAAAAUUUAUGGUCAUAAGUUUGCAACCUCAAUUAAUUGCUUUUGUAUUGUUUGUUUUGUUUUGGCCACAGCCAAGUGUUUAAUUUAAAAACACGCAAACAUACACUCAUAUUGUGCUGGCAGGAGUUACAUUUAUUGAUAGAAAUGUAAAUUGAUACAACCUCUAUGAGGGCAAUGUAGUAAUGUACAUCAGUAUUUAAAAUGUACAAGCUCCUUGCUGAGUUUGAUAUUCACAUGAGGAAAAAAAUGAAUCUCAUUCCCUUGCUAUAGACCAAAUGUUUGUGUAGCCCUAAAAUUCAUAUGUUGAAAUUCUAAUCCCUGAUGUGAUGGUACUUGAAGGUGAAGCCUUUGACAGAUGAUUAUGGCCUUGAGAGCAGAGCACUCUAGUGAGAAGACAACUGUCUAUGAACCAGGAGCAGGUUCUCACCAGACACUACAUCUGUUAGUGCCUUGAUCUUAGACUUUCCAGCCUCCAGUACUGUCAGUAAUAAAUUCCUGUUAUUUGUAAACCACCCAAUCUAUGGUAUUUUUGUGAAAGCAGCCCAUAUGGACAAAGAUACUCCUACUUUACAGUGUACAUAAAAUCAGUUCCAAAGUGUGAAAUGGAAAAUAAUAAAACUUCUACAAGAAAA
Molecule: long non-coding RNA, 2705 nt
Organism: Canis lupus familiaris (dog)
Lineage: Eukaryota; Metazoa; Chordata; Mammalia; Carnivora; Canidae
Exons: 2
Source: RefSeq, a predicted model, not a curated record